GACGAACCGUCCAAACGUUAUUCGGAUUUACUGGGCUUAAAGGGUGCGUAGGCGGCCUGACAAGUUGGGUGUGAAAUACCUCGGCUCAACCGAGGAACAGCGCUCAAAACUGUCGGGCUUGAGGAAGAUAGAGGUGAGCGGAACUUAAGGUGGAGCGGUGAAAUGCGUUGAUAUCUUAAGGAACACCCGUGGCGAAAGCGGCUCACUGGAUCUUUUCUGACGCUGAGGCACGAAAGCUAGGGGAGCGAACGGG
Molecule: ribosomal RNA, 253 nt
Filed under: uncultured bacterium
Lineage: Bacteria
Description: partial 16S ribosomal RNA
Rfam family: Bacterial small subunit ribosomal RNA
Source: RNAcentral